This 253-nucleotide ribosomal RNA is filed under the name uncultured bacterium. RNAcentral describes it as "partial 16S ribosomal RNA". It matches the Rfam family "Bacterial small subunit ribosomal RNA", at positions 524 to 776 of the family's 1533-position model. The record is from RNAcentral.
UACAGAGGUCUCAAGCGUUGUUCGGAUUCAUUGGGCGUAAAGGGUGCGUAGGCGGCGCGGUAAGGCGGGUGUGAAAUCUCGGAGCUUAACUCCGAAACUGCAUUCGAUACUGCCGUGCUUGAGGACUGGAGAGGAGACUGGAAUUUACGGUGUAGCGGUGAAAUGCGUAGAUAUCGUAAGGAAGACCAGCGGCGAAGGCGGGUCUCUGGACAGUUCCUGACGCUGAGGCACGAAGGUCAGGGGAGCAAACGGG